UGUUAUGGCGAAGCUGGAGAGGGACAUCUUCGGAUGUGCAGGUUUUCUAACGAGCCUGUCUGUCAACCCUUUUCAGCUUUGCCACCAUU
This 89-nucleotide non-coding RNA is filed under the name Acinetobacter sp. CIP 102637. The record is from RNAcentral. Lineage: Bacteria; Pseudomonadati; Pseudomonadota; Gammaproteobacteria; Moraxellales; Moraxellaceae.